CAAGAGAACAAGUUGCUACAAUGAUGAAUGCAAUAGUGAGAUGACGAGAUGUAACUGAACAAGACAGCGGAAAUUGUGCAAGCUGCUGUUUCAAUGUAAGAAUGUGCUAUGCUCCUUCUCUUUGUCUGGAGUUGUUUCUCAGAUAUUGGUGGAACUGGAGUUAAAUGUCAGGUCAGGGUAUGGACCACAUUAUGGUUAUUCAGUGGUGGAUCCUGUUAUGCAUAUCAGGGUAUUCUGCUGAGGUGAUGAAGAGGAGCAUCUUCUUGAUCUCUGGUCAGACAGAGAGUGUGCAUCUGUCUGUGUCAGACCUGGCUCAACCUCACUGGUCAGAGUUCAGCUGGGAGUGGACCUCACAUGAUGGGAGAUACUCAGAGAUUCAAAUAGCCAGAGCAAUAUCCUCUAGGCUAGUGGUUAGUCCACCUUUCACAGAGUACUUUUCUUGCAGCAAAGACUUUGACGUAACAGUGAAGCCGAAGUUUGAAUGUGCAGGGGUGUUUUUGUUGGUAAGAGCAAAUGUCCCAUUGGUUAAGAUUGAGAUCUUCGCCACAAAAAUUACACCUUCCUUUUGGCCUUCAUUUCGUCUGGGUUCUGAUGUGAGUGUUAGUUGCGAGUUGUCCAGCCUACCAGAUGGGGCCACACUGCAGUGGGAAAGAGAUGGAGAUUCCACUUCUAACACCACGCUGUUCUACAAUAACACUGUCCACAUGAUCAUCCGCAGUGUUCAUCUGGACAGUCAGGGGGCAUACUUCUGCACUUUUAGACAGAAUGGAACACUGUUAUAUAAUGUCUCUAAUGCUGUCAGAAUUGAGGAAGUUUCGUCUGAUGCCACUCUCACAAUGUACAGAGAGAGCUCCAACAGCUCUCUGGUGACACUGUUUUGUAUGACAUCAGAUGGGUACAUCUAUGCAUCAUGGUCCUGGACCCCAUUAUCUACAGCUAAAGAGGUUCACCUUGUGACAACUACAAUGUACGGAUCCAAUGACACGUUUAAUGAGAGAUUUUCAUGCGGGGACUUCAAUGGAUACUACUUCCCUCUCUACUUCUCACCUGUGAAGUUUGAAGAUUCUGGAAGGUUCAACUGCUAUUUUGAAAACCUCCUAGUUGCCUCUAUUAAUGUGGUAACCCUAAAGGUCUCCGCAGUUCCGCCUAGUGGAUUCCCCAGGAAUCAUCCGGUGGUCCUGAGAUGUGAGGUGUCGGAGGUGAGCACCGACCCUGUGACCCUAGCCUGGCUGAGGAUGGAAGGGAGCAGGGGGCUGCUGGUCAAACAGGACAUCCUGACAGAGAGUCACCCCAACAAGACGCUCAGUGUGACCCUGCCCAGCCUCCGUAGGGACCAGCUGCACUGGCAGUGUGCUGUGUUCACAGAGGGCAUGCUCAGAGUGACAGCCUCCCUGACCCUCACACUCCCCACACAGACAACAAUGUCGUCAAUGACAGGGAUGGGCACCGAGACAGUGGUCAGAGGGGUGAUUACAAUGGCUGCCACCCUAGGAAUUCUGGGACUUCUCGGGUUCUACUGUCGAAGACCAAACAGUAAGGAGACACUCCCUCUUGGAUAGACGCAACCCAAUCACAAAGGAAUGGGACAUUGAGGAACCAUAAAAAAUAUCUGCCUUAGGCACCCGGACACAGAGACAAAAGGAGGAACCUGCUCAACUGGAGGAGACUAGUGUAUAGCCUUGUUGCUAGCCUAUGGCCUGUGGCUGUGUUGAAAUAUAGCUUUCCCACCCAUGUCUGUACCAACCAGUGAAGUCUUUCACACUGAAUUACCACAUGACACACUGUGUUCUGUCAAAAGGUCUGGCAAUAGAAACUUCACUGGUGUUAAAAUAAUGUGUUAACCACCAACAACCUUCCCCUCAAAGACUAAUAUUGAAACCAUGACCAUGUUAUGAUACUGUAAGCAUCUUUCCAAAAGACCUAAAUAAUUUACACUGAGUGCACAAAACAUUAUGAACACCUGCUCUUUCCAUGACAUAGUCUGACCAGGUGAAUCCAGGUGAA
RNA transcript from Oncorhynchus tshawytscha (Chinook salmon), 2004 nucleotides. RefSeq lists it as uncharacterized. The record is from RefSeq and is a predicted model, not a curated record. The transcript has 7 exons. Lineage: Eukaryota; Metazoa; Chordata; Actinopteri; Salmoniformes; Salmonidae.